RNAcentral lists this ribosomal RNA (375 nucleotides) under uncultured eukaryote. RNAcentral's name for it is "partial 18S ribosomal RNA". It matches the Rfam family "Eukaryotic small subunit ribosomal RNA", at positions 592 to 976 of the family's 1831-position model. The record is from RNAcentral.
CAAUAGCGUAUAUUUAAGUUGUUGCAGUUAAAAAGCUCGUAGUUGGAUUUCGGUUAAGAGCGACCGGUCCGCCGUUUGGUGUGCACUGGUUGGUUUUAACUUCCUGUAGAGGACGUGUUCUGGGUUUAACGACCUGGACUCGGAGUCUACGUGGUUACUUUGAAAAAAUUAGAGUGUUCAAAGCGGGCUUACGCUUGAAUAUUUCAGCAUGGAAUAACACUAUAGGACUCCUGUCCUAUUUCGUUGGUCUCGGGACGGGAGUAAUGAUUAAGAGGAACAGUUGGGGGCAUUCGUAUUUCAUUGUCAGAGGUGAAAUUCUUGGAUUUAUGAAAGACGAACUUCUGCGAAAGCAUUUGCCAAGGAUGUUUUCAUUAA